AUUGAACGCUGGCGGCAUGCUUUACACAUGCAAGUCGAACGGUAACAGGUUAAGCUGACGAGUGGCGAACGGGUGAGUAAUGCAUCGGAACGUGCCCGAUCGUGGGGGAUAACGCAGCGAAAGCUGCGCUAAUACCGCAUACGAUCUGAGGAUGAAAGCGGGGGACCGUAAGGCCUCGCGCGAUCGGAGCGGCCGAUGUCAGAUUAGGUAGUUGGUGGGGUAAAGGCUCACCAAGCCAACGAUCUGUAGCUGGUCUGAGAGGACGACCAGCCACACUGGGACUGAGACACGGCCCAGACUCCUACGGGAGGCAGCAGUGGGGAAUUCUGGACAAUGGGCGAAAGCCUGAUCCAGCAAUGCCGCGUGCAGGAAGAAGGCCUUCGGGUUGUAAACUGCUUUUGUACGGAGCGAAAAGGCUCUCUCUAAUACAGGGGGCUCAUGACGGUACCGUAAGAAUAAGCACCGGCUAACUCUGUGCCAGCAGCCGCGGUAA
RNAcentral lists this ribosomal RNA (493 nucleotides) under uncultured bacterium. RNAcentral's name for it is "partial 16S ribosomal RNA". It matches the Rfam family "Bacterial small subunit ribosomal RNA", at positions 30 to 523 of the family's 1533-position model. The record is from RNAcentral.